CCUACGGGGGACUGCAGUGAGGAAUAUUGGUCAAUGGACGAGAGUCUGAACCAGCCAAGUAGCGUGAAGGAUGACUGCCCUAUGGGUUGUAAACUUCUUUUAUAUGGGAAUAAAAUGUUCCACGUGUGGGAUUUUGUAUGUACCAUAUGAAUAAGGAUCGGCUAACUCCGUGCCAGCAGCCGCGGUAAUACGGAUGAUCCGAGCGUUAUCCGGAUUUAUUGGGUUUAAAGGGAGCGUAGGUGGAUUGUUAAGUCAGUUGUGAAAGUUUGCGGCUCAACCGUAAAAUUGCAGUUGAAACUGGCAGUCUUGAGUACAGUAGAGGUGGGCGGAAUUCGUGGUGUAGCGGUGAAAUGCUUAGAUAUCACGAAGAACUCCGAUUGCGAAGGCAGUUCACUGGACUGCAACUGACACUGAGGCUCGAAAGUGUGGGUAUCAAACAGGAUUAGAUACCCGAGUAGUC
RNAcentral lists this ribosomal RNA (460 nucleotides) under uncultured bacterium. Its description in RNAcentral is "partial 16S ribosomal RNA". It matches the Rfam family "Bacterial small subunit ribosomal RNA", at positions 338 to 795 of the family's 1533-position model. The record is from RNAcentral.